ACCGGCAGCUCAAGUGGUGGCCAUUUUUAUUGGGCCUAAAGCGAAAGCAGAAGGGGUGAUAAGUCUCUGGUGAAAUCCCGCAGCUUAACUGUGGGACUUGCUGGAGAUACUAUUAGACUUGAGGUCGGGAGAGGUUAGGGGUACUCCCAGGGUAGGGGUGAAAUCCUAUAAUCCUGGGAGGACCACCUGUGGCGAAGGCGCCUAACUGGAACGAACCUGACGGUGAGUAACGAAAGCCAGGGGCGCGAACCG
Molecule: ribosomal RNA, 252 nt
Filed under: uncultured prokaryote
Description: partial 16S rRNA
Rfam family: Archaeal small subunit ribosomal RNA
Source: RNAcentral